UUGAAAGGGAAACGAUUGAAGUCAGUCAUACCAACGGGAAAUCAACCUUUUGAGCUUGGUCUCGUGGGUUUUGAAGAGUUUCAAAGCCUUCGGAUUCGCGAGAUUGGGAUCUCUCGGUGUACUUUCUCGUACGGUUAGUCAACAUCGGUUUUGAAUGUCAUAAAAUGACUGGAGGAAUGUAGCUUCGAUCUCGUAUUGAAGUGUUAUAGCCUUUGGUAGAUGUGAUGUUUGAGACCGAGGAUUGCAACGGAUACCCUUCAGGGCUAUUCGUCUGAUCUCUGAUACGUUGCCUUGAUGUUGAAAGCUUGCCUAUGAUGUUAGGGUAUUACGGUCAAAAGGUUAGAACGAAUUACAUUCGUUAAGGAUGUUGACGUA
Molecule: ribosomal RNA, 375 nt
Filed under: uncultured Glomeromycotina
Lineage: Eukaryota; Fungi; Glomeromycota
Description: LSU rRNA
Source: RNAcentral